RNAcentral lists this non-coding RNA (23 nucleotides) under Arabidopsis thaliana (thale cress). The record is from RNAcentral. Lineage: Eukaryota; Viridiplantae; Streptophyta; Magnoliopsida; Brassicales; Brassicaceae.
GUGGAGAGCUGUAAACAUAUGGU